AGCUCCAAUAGCGUAUAUUAAAGUUGUUGCAGUUAAAAAGCUCGUAGUUGGAUUUCGGAAUGGGCCAGUUGGUCCGCCGCAAGGUGAGUUACUGACUGGUUUGUUCUUCUUCGCAAAGACUGCGUGUGCUCUUUACUGAGUGUACGUAGGAUUUACGACGUUUACUUUGAAAAAAUUAGAGUGUUCAAAGCAGGCUAUCGCUUGAAUACAUGAGCAUGGAAUAAUGGAAUAGGACUUUGGUUCUAUUUUAUUGGUUUCUAGGACCGAAGUAAUGAUUAAGAGGGACAAUUGGGGGCAUUCAUAUUUCGUUGUCAGAGGUGAAAUUCUUGGAUUUACGAAAGACGAACAACUGCGAAAGCAUUUGCCAAGAGUGUUUUCA
RNAcentral lists this ribosomal RNA (379 nucleotides) under marine Metazoa environmental sample. RNAcentral's name for it is "SSU rRNA". It matches the Rfam family "Eukaryotic small subunit ribosomal RNA", at positions 587 to 972 of the family's 1831-position model. The record is from RNAcentral. Lineage: Eukaryota; Metazoa.